RNAcentral lists this ribosomal RNA (371 nucleotides) under uncultured bacterium. Its description in RNAcentral is "bacterial SSU rRNA". It matches the Rfam family "Bacterial small subunit ribosomal RNA", at positions 527 to 896 of the family's 1533-position model. The record is from RNAcentral.
GAAGGGUGCAAGCGUUACUCGGAAUUACUGGGCGUAAAGCGUGCGUAGGUGGUUUGUUAAGUCUGAUGUGAAAGCCCUGGGCUCAACCUGGGAAUUGCACUGGAUACUGGCAGGCUAGAGUGCGGUAGAGGAUGGCGGAAUUCCCGGUGUAGCAGUGAAAUGCGUAGAGAUCGGGAGGAACAUCUGAGGCGAAGGCGGCCAUCUGGACCAGCACUGACACUGAGGCACGAAAGCGUGGGGAGCAAACAGGAUUAGAUACCCUGGUAGUCCACGCCCUAAACGAUGCGAACUGGAUGUUGGGAGCAACUAGGCUCUCAGUAUCGAAGCUAACGCGUUAAGUUCGCCGCCUGGGGAGUACGGUCGCAAGACUG